AGUAGGAUGGCUGAUAUUAGGUAAUAGAUUGUAAAUUUAUUUAAGGUUUUUACCUCUUACUA
Molecule: transfer RNA, 62 nt
Filed under: Geisha distinctissima
Lineage: Eukaryota; Metazoa; Arthropoda; Insecta; Hemiptera; Flatidae
Description: tRNA-Tyr
Source: RNAcentral